RNAcentral lists this ribosomal RNA (606 nucleotides) under Rhizobium sp. CL42 4.1. RNAcentral describes it as "bacterial SSU rRNA". It matches the Rfam family "Bacterial small subunit ribosomal RNA", at positions 109 to 750 of the family's 1533-position model. The record is from RNAcentral. Lineage: Bacteria; Pseudomonadati; Pseudomonadota; Alphaproteobacteria; Hyphomicrobiales; Rhizobiaceae.
AGUAACGCGUGGGAAUCUACCUAUCACUACGGAACAACUCCGGGAAACUGGAGCUAAUACCGUAUACGUCCUUUUGGAGAAAGAUUUAUCGGUGAUGGAUGAGCCCGCGUUGGAUUAGCUAGUUGGUGGGGUAAUGGCCUACCAAGGCGACGAUCCAUAGCUGGUCUGAGAGGAUGAUCAGCCACACUGGGACUGAGACACGGCCCAGACUCCUACGGGAGGCAGCAGUGGGGAAUAUUGGACAAUGGGCGCAAGCCUGAUCCAGCCAUGCCGCGUGAGUGAUGAAGGCCCUAGGGUUGUAAAGCUCUUUCAACGGUGAAGAUAAUGACGGUAACCGUAGAAGAAGCCCCGGCUAACUUCGUGCCAGCAGCCGCGGUAAUACGAAGGGGGCUAGCGUUGUUCGGAUUUACUGGGCGUAAAGCGCACGUAGGCGGAUUGUUAAGUUAGGGGUGAAAUCCCAGGGCUCAACCCUGGAACUGCCUUUAAUACUGGCAAUCUCGAGUCCGGAAGAGGUGAGUGGAAUUCCGAGUGUAGAGGUGAAAUUCGUAGAUAUUCGGAGGAACACCAGUGGCGAAGGCGGCUCACUGGUCCGGUACUGACGCUGAG